UCACUCAAUAAUUGUAUCCUACAAUUUUGUGUACUUACACAUUAGUAAUCGCAUCUCACACUUUUGUAUGUUUCAGUCUCACAGAGAUCGUUCAACGAUACCACAGCCAUGUGGAAGCAGAAAAAGAGAGCUCUGCAGAAGUUUUGGACACAGAGCACUCUAAAUAUGCAAGCUUCAUGACAGUGCGAGAACUGUUACAAACGGUAGAAAGGCAACUCGAGGAACCUGUUGUUGAUUAUCUCAGUGUGACUGACCUUGUCCAAUUGGAAAACCAACUGCAAACUGCUCUAAUGCAAGCCAGAUCUAGCAAGACGCAUUUGAUGAUUGAAUCUAUCAAAAGUCUAGGUGAGAAGG
This is a non-coding RNA of Nicotiana tabacum (common tobacco), 354 nucleotides long. NCBI's taxonomy places the organism in Eukaryota, Viridiplantae, Streptophyta, Magnoliopsida, Solanales, Solanaceae. The record is from RefSeq and is a predicted model, not a curated record.